This 508-nucleotide ribosomal RNA is filed under the name uncultured bacterium. RNAcentral describes it as "bacterial SSU rRNA". It matches the Rfam family "Bacterial small subunit ribosomal RNA", at positions 899 to 1397 of the family's 1533-position model. The record is from RNAcentral.
ACUCAAAUGAAUUGACGGGGGCUCACACAAGCGGUGGAGCAUGUGGCCUAAUUCGAAGCAACGCGAAGAACCUUAUCCUGGACUUGACAUGGUGGAAGUAGGAAACUGAAAAGCGUACGACCGGUAUCCAAUCCGGAACCAUCACAGGUGCUGCAUGGCUGUCGUCAGCUCGUGCUGUGAAGUGUCGGGUUAAGUCCCAUAACGAGCGAAACCCUUAUCGUUAGUUGCUAACAGGUCAAGCUGAGCACUCUAACGAGACUGCCGGUGUUAAACCGGAGGAAGGCGGGGAUGACGUCAAGUCCUCAUGGCCUUUAUGUCCAGGGCUGCACACGUGCUACAAUGCCGAUGACAAACCGAAGCAAGACCGUAAGGUGGAGCAAAUCGGAAAAAAAUCGGCCCAGUUCAGAUUGAGGGCUGCAACUCGCCCUCAUGAAGUUGGAAUCGCUAGUAAUCGCGAAUCAGCUAUGUCGCGGUGAAUGUGUUCCUGAGCCUUGUACACACCGCCCGU